UACGUAGGUGGCAAGCGUUGUCCGGAUUUACUGGGCGUAAAGAGCGCGCAGGCGGUCGUUCAAGGCGCGUGUGAAAGCCCCCGGCUCAACUGGGGAGGGUCACGCGAUACUGUUCGACUCGAAGGCAGGAGAGGGAAGUGGAAUUCCCGGUGUAGUGGUGAAAUGCGUAGAUAUCGGGAGGAACACCAGUGGCGAAGGCGACUUCCUGGCCUGUUCUUGACGCUGAGGCGCGAAAGCUAGGGUAGCAAACGGG
RNAcentral lists this ribosomal RNA (253 nucleotides) under uncultured bacterium. Its description in RNAcentral is "partial 16S ribosomal RNA". It matches the Rfam family "Bacterial small subunit ribosomal RNA", at positions 524 to 776 of the family's 1533-position model. The record is from RNAcentral.